RNAcentral lists this ribosomal RNA (407 nucleotides) under uncultured bacterium. RNAcentral describes it as "partial 16S ribosomal RNA". It matches the Rfam family "Bacterial small subunit ribosomal RNA", at positions 28 to 526 of the family's 1533-position model. The record is from RNAcentral.
GACGAACGCUGGCGGCGUGCUUAACACAUGCAAGUCGAACGAAGUGGCGAACGGGUGAGUAAUACGUGGGUAACCUGCCCUCCUUUUUGGGAUAAGCCUUGGAAACGGGGUCUAAUACCGAAUAAGGGGGGAUGUGCUCGCGGCCUAUCAGCUUGUUGGUGGGGUGAUGGCCUACCAAGGCGGUGACGGGUAGCCGGCCUGAGAGGGGGACAGGCGAGAUGGGGACUGAGAUACGGUCCAUAACCCUACGGGAGGCAGCAGUGGGGAUAUGGCACAAUGUGCGAAAGCCUGAUGCAGCGACGCCGAGUGGGUGAUGAAGGCUUUAGGGUUGUAAACCUCUUUCGAUAUCGAUCGGGUAGGUGGAGAAGAAGCGCCGGCUAACUACGUGCCAGCAGCCGCGGUAAUAC